Molecule: ribosomal RNA, 330 nt
Filed under: uncultured eukaryote
Lineage: Eukaryota
Description: partial 18S ribosomal RNA
Rfam family: Eukaryotic small subunit ribosomal RNA
Source: RNAcentral
CCCUUAGAUGUUCUGGGCCGCACGCGUGCUACACUGAUGCAUUCAACGAGUCUAAAACCUGGUCUGAUAGGGCUGGGUAAUCUUUUGAAAGUGCAUCGUGAUUGGGAUAGAUGAUUGCAAUUCUUCAUCUUCAACGAGGAAUGCCUAGUAAACGCAAGUCAUCAGCUUGCAUUGAUUACGUCCCUGCACUUUGUACACACCGCCCGUCGCUCCUACCGAUUGAAUGAUCCGAUGAAUACCAUGGAUUGAGAGUACGAAUAGGUUCGCUUAUUUCUGCUGCUCGAGAAGUGGAGUAAAUCUUAUCAUUUAGAGGAAGGAGAAGUCGUAACA